AUGCAUGAUAAUAGGUUUAAUCUUAUCGUUUGUUUUCAAAACUCCCAUGUUCUGAAGACUUUCAUAAAAAUCGCCUAUUCACCCCCCUCUAGUCGAUAUAACGCACUUUCAGACAUUCGUUUGGUGUGUCAGCCACCGAACUCGCCUGAUCUUAACAUAUUGGAUCUAGGUUUCUUUGCUGCCUUACAGUCAUUGUUUCAAAAGUUGUUUCCAGGUUAAAUCAAGGACAUAGUCAAGAAGGUAUGCGAGGCAUUUGAGUAGUACCCAGCAGAGAGGUGCAACAGAAUAUUCCUCACACUCCAAUCCUGCAUGUGUGAGGUUUUGAAGGACAAAGGAGGCCAGCACUAUAAGGUGCCGCACAUGAGGAAGCAAGUCCUUCAGGAUCUUGGUAUUCUACCGGUGAAGUUGCCUUGUGCUCGAUCCAUUGUGGAGUCAGCGAGGGCGUUCUUGCGAGAGUAG
Molecule: ribosomal RNA, 459 nt
Filed under: Triticum aestivum (bread wheat)
Lineage: Eukaryota; Viridiplantae; Streptophyta; Magnoliopsida; Poales; Poaceae
Description: partial small subunit ribosomal RNA
Source: RNAcentral